CCCCUUUCAUCUCUGAUUUUGUCUACCUUCCCUGAUAGAGGAGGAUCAGUCUUGGGUCAAGUUUAUAUGAAUAGCUGUGCUCCCCUGCUAGAACCUCCAAACAAGCUCUCAAAAUACGUAUUUUUAAAAAACCUGUCCUUCUAAAGAUACUAGAGAGAGC
This 160-nucleotide small RNA is filed under the name Nannospalax galili (Upper Galilee mountains blind mole rat). Its description in RNAcentral is "7SK RNA (ENSNGAG00000008622.1)". The record is from RNAcentral. Lineage: Eukaryota; Metazoa; Chordata; Mammalia; Rodentia; Spalacidae.